This is a non-coding RNA of Callithrix jacchus (white-tufted-ear marmoset), 2761 nucleotides long. The record is from RefSeq and is a predicted model, not a curated record. Lineage: Eukaryota; Metazoa; Chordata; Mammalia; Primates; Cebidae.
GGGGCCUUCCUGGUGCAGUGCCUUCCCGUGGGCUGCGCAGGGCCACUGUGCACAGUGGGGUUGCCAGAGUAGGUAGACCCUCGCACCUCUGAGGCCACAGAGUAGGCCUGGGAUUCAGGCCACCGUGGCCAGGCUUGCCCUUUACGGCAAACCCAGGGGUUCUGUUGAGAUCCCUCUGCCCCGGAGGAUCCUGAGUGGGCUUCAGACGCUGCAUGUCUAACAAGUGCCAGUCCUGUUUGCCACCUUGAGCAGUAGGGUCAGGCUGGCACCACGUGGCUCUGCUGGCUCCCCACGCCACAGAAGGUGGCUCUGUCCAAAGGACUCCUGUUUCCACGAAGGCUCCACGUGAGCCUCCAUGGCAUAGCCCAGGCCAGCCCAGCCAAAGAGUGCCAGGAGCAGGAGAGGGUUCCCCAGGGGCGUGUUCCCAGACUCCCUGGAAACGGCGUCAGGACUGCGUGUGCCUGGGUGCUCUCAAACGUGGCCUCCCUCUGCUGAGUGGCGUGAGAGUCGCUGCCUCGGACGCGUUUGUUGUUUUAAGUAAAUCAUCUAUUUCUGUUGAGCAUUUUGUCAAUUUCUUGGAGAAGAUUACGUUAUUUUACAAUAUUUACUCAUAAAAAUCUAAACUCUAAAUCAGAUGAAUCAUAAAUAUUCAUCUUUUUCCUCCUUUUGAGAUGGAGGCUUGCUCUGUCACCCAGGCUGGAGUGCAGUGGCAUAAUCUCAGCUCACUGCAACCUCUGUCUCCCAGGUUCAAGAAAUUCUCCCUGCCUCAGCCUCCCGAGUAGCUGGGAUUAUAGGCACCCGCAGAGACAGGGUUUCACCAUGUUGGCCAGGCUGGUCUUGAACUCCAGACUUCAGGUGAUCGCCUGCACUGGCGUCUCCAAGUGCUGGAUUAUAGGCGUGAGCCACCAUGCCCGGCCAGUGAGUCUGUUUUGAGUGGACAGGUUGCAGAUUGAGGAAUGUCGGUGAUGCUUGCCCUGUGUGAUCACCUCCACAGUCAAGAUGGAGAACUUUCUACUGCCCCAAAGGCUCCCACGCCCCUCCCAUAUGGCAUUCCUGCCAGAUGUUGCUCUGCUCUGACUUCAGGUCACUUUUUUUUCCUGAGAAAGAGUCUUGCUGUGUCUCCCAGCUAGAGUGCAGUGGUGUGAUCUCGGCUCACUGCAACCUCUGCCUUCUGGGUUCAAGUGAUUCUCCUGCCUCAGCCUCUUGAAUAGCUGGGACUACAGGUGUGCACCACCACGCCUGGCUAAUUUUUGUAUUUUUAGUAGAGAUGGGGUUUCACGAUGUUGGCCAGGCUGCUCUCAAACUCCUGACCUUGUGAUCUGCCCACCUUGGCCUCACGAAGUGCUGGGAUUGCAGGCGUGACCUGCCGCACCCGGCCUUUGAGCUCACCUUGUAGACUUCCCUGUCAACAGAAGCCUGCGGCUCCGUCAUGUCUGUGGCAUUCUUGGCCCUGCUGAUGUUGGUGAGAUUCAGCCAUGCUCCUUGCUUCUGAGUAGCAUUUCAUGUGGAAAUGCGGUGAUUUGUUUAUCCAUUUGUCUGUCUCCAGUUUUUGCUAUUUGAAUAAAGCUGCUGUGAACGUUUGUGUACAAGUCUUUUUGUGGACAUGUUUUUAUUCUCUUGGGUACCUACCUAAGAGUGGAGUUGCUGUGUCGUGUGGUUAAAUGUAUGAACUGUUAUCCAAAAUGCUUGUCCUGUUCGGCGAUCCCACCACCAGUUCAUGAGCUCUGGGGACUCCACACUGCGCCAGCCAGCGCUGGGGCUGUUGGUCUCUUUACCUUCUGCCAUUCUAACGUGUGGGUGGUGGCGUCUCCCUGCUUUUCACGUGUGUGCCCGUGACCACCCUCUCUGUGUGCUGGCCUCUGCUGUGAAGUUCACGUUCAGUUUUUGUCCACCGAGAAGACUGGGUUUGGCCUGUUAGCGCGUGCUCCUGAGUUUCUUACAUCAUCUGGAAACAAGGCUUGGUGAGAUUUAUGUAAAAAUGUCUCUCCCAGUUCAUGACUUGCCUUUUCAUUUUCUUAAUGCUGUCUUUGGAAAAUAGUUUAUAGUUCUGGUGAAAUUCAGUUUACUCAUUUUUUCUUUUGCUUUAUUUUUUGAGACAGAAUCUCAUCUGUCGCCAGGGUGGAGUGCAAUGGCAUGAUCUUGGCUUACGUCAGUCUCCGCCUCCCAGGUUCAAGCGAUUUUUCUGCCUCAGCCUCCCCAGUAGCUGGGAUUACAGGUGCCCGCCACCACGCCCAGCUAAUGCUUUUUUGUAUUUUUAGUAGAGAUGGGGUUUCACCGUGUUGGCCUCAAUCUGUGGACCGCGUGAUCUGCCUGCCUCAGCCUCCCAAAGUGCUGGGAUCACAGAAGUUUCAAGGUCUUCGCUUUUAUAUUCACAUAAAAUUUAAAGUGUCCCCUUUGAAGACGGCGUCUGCGUGAGGUGCGAGGCGAGGGUAGAGGGUCACCUUCCCGAAGGGAGAUCCCACUUGUUCAGCGCUGUCUGUUGGACGGUCCUUUGCUGCCUGGAUUGCCUUGGCAGCUCUCUGCAGAGCAUGGACCGUCCACGCCCGAGUCUCCCGGACUCUGCUCCGUUGUGCUGCUCCGUGUGACAUGCCUGGUGUCCCAGCACAUCAUCUUGAGUGCUGUAGCUCUGUGCCGAGUCCUGACCUCAGCAGUGUAAAUCCUCCAGUGGUGUUCAAAUGGUUUUCGUUGUUUCAAGCCUUUCACGUUUCCAUUUUUAGAAUCAUCUUGGAGUUUUUACUAAAAAAGCUGGCUUGGCGUCUCA